This 74-nucleotide transfer RNA is filed under the name bacterium. RNAcentral describes it as "tRNA-Pro". It matches the Rfam family "tRNA". From Rfam's summary of the family: Transfer RNA (tRNA) molecules are approximately 80 nucleotides in length. Their secondary structure includes four short double-helical elements and three loops (D, anti-codon, and T loops). RNAcentral also lists the same sequence under 1 other name. The record is from RNAcentral.
CGGGGCGUGGCGCAGCGGCUUAGCGCGCAUGGUUCGGGACCAUGAGGUCGUGGGUUCAAAUCCCACCGCCCCGA